GUACAAAUGUAAGACCCUUAGUCUGUAAUUGUUCACAGGGUAAAGAUGAUAGUGUUUGCAAUGCAACUAGCUCUUAGCGCCAUGGACACUUGCAAAUGGUUUAAGGACGAGUUUGAAUUAAAAGAAGCCUACAGGGUUCGACUAUACCAAAGAAGACGGAAUAGACAUGUAAAAAGUCAUAGAUACCAAAAACAGCAAAAAAGGCUUAAAGAAAGUUUAUUUAUGUGGCAAAGUGAAGAGGACUUAGA
Long non-coding RNA from Mytilus californianus (California mussel), 248 nucleotides. RefSeq lists it as uncharacterized. The transcript has 3 exons. NCBI's taxonomy places the organism in Eukaryota, Metazoa, Mollusca, Bivalvia, Mytilida, Mytilidae. The record is from RefSeq and is a predicted model, not a curated record.